GUGGGGAAUAUUGGACAAUGGGCGAAAGCCUGAUCCAGCCAUGCCGCGUGUGUGAAGAAGGUCUUCGGAUUGUAAAGCACUUUAAGUUGGGAGGAAGAGUAGUAACCUAAUACGUUGCUACUUUGACGUUACCGACAGAAUAAGCACCGGCUAACUUCGUGCCAGCAGCCGCGGUAAUACGAAGGGUGCAAGCGUUAAUCGGAAUUACUGGGCGUAAAGCGCGCGUAGGUGGUUCAGUAAGUUGGAAGUGAAAUCCCCGGGCUCAACCUGGGAACUGCCUCCAAAACUACUGGGCUAGAGUACGGUAGAGGGUAGUGGAAUUUCCUGUGUAGCGGUGAAAUGCGUAGAUAUAGGAAGGAACACCAGUGGCGAAGGCGACUACCUGGACUGAUACUGACACUGAGGUGCGAAAGCGUGGGGAGCAAACAGGAUUAGAAACCCCGGUAGUCC
This 450-nucleotide ribosomal RNA is filed under the name uncultured bacterium. RNAcentral's name for it is "partial 16S ribosomal RNA". It matches the Rfam family "Bacterial small subunit ribosomal RNA", at positions 354 to 796 of the family's 1533-position model. The record is from RNAcentral.